UACGGAGGGUGCAAGCGUUAUCCGGAAUUACUGGGUUUAAAGGGUGCGUAGGUGGGUUGGUGAGUCAGUGGUGAAAUACUUUCGCUUAACGAAGGAACUGCCAUUGAUACUACCAGCCUUGAAUACAGUGGAGGUGGGCGGAAUGCGUCAUGUAGCGGUGAAAUGCUUAGAUAUGACGCAGAACACCAAUUGCGAAGGCAGCUUGCUACGCUGUUAUUGACACUGAGGCACGAAAGCGUGGGGAUCAAACAGG
RNAcentral lists this ribosomal RNA (253 nucleotides) under uncultured bacterium. Its description in RNAcentral is "partial 16S ribosomal RNA". It matches the Rfam family "Bacterial small subunit ribosomal RNA", at positions 524 to 776 of the family's 1533-position model. The record is from RNAcentral.